AACUGAAUGUGGUUCCUGGACCAAGAUCAACUGGAAACUGACUGUGAAUGCAAAUCUCAUACUCCAGCACAGACUUACUGAUUCGGAAAUUCCACUGAUGGGAUCCAUUGUUCACCAACAGCAAAUGAAGAUCCAAAAUGUUUUACUCCCACCGACUUGAUGCUCUUGAGGACACCAUGGCAGACUAUACAUUGAGAAAGCAAAUCCCCCUCAGUAACAUUUCCAGUGCCUGCUGACCCGAGGCCCCAUCCUCUGGGAUUAUCUCUGACACAGUUCUGCUUCUAUUCAAUAGACUUUCUAUAUUUGACAGUUUCUCAUGUUAUGCAUGUGGUUUAAAGCUCUGCUGAAACCGUUCGCUUUGGCUGACCACCCAGCUUCCAACAUCCCCAACAUCACAGCAACACACAAGCCACCAUUGUUUGACAAACUGACAGACAAGUGGUGGUGUUGCAUAGUAGAAAAUCUUUUAGCCGAGGUCAGAGAGCUACAUUUCUCACCGCGAUAUCAGAAGCUUUCUGGUUUUAUAUUUUGCUUACUUUCUUGUUUUUCUUGAUAUGUCUUUAUAGACAAAAAUAAAGGAAAAUAAAUAAAA
Long non-coding RNA from Echinops telfairi (small Madagascar hedgehog), 592 nucleotides. RefSeq lists it as uncharacterized. The transcript is spliced from 2 exons. Lineage: Eukaryota; Metazoa; Chordata; Mammalia; Afrosoricida; Tenrecidae. The record is from RefSeq and is a predicted model, not a curated record.